This 800-nucleotide ribosomal RNA is filed under the name uncultured bacterium. RNAcentral describes it as "bacterial SSU rRNA". It matches the Rfam family "Bacterial small subunit ribosomal RNA", at positions 8 to 805 of the family's 1533-position model. The record is from RNAcentral.
AGAGUUUGAUCCUGGCUCAGGAUGAACGCUAGCGGCAGGCUUAAUACAUGCAAGUCGAACGGUAACAGGGUAGCAAUACCGCUGACGAGUGGCGCACGGGUGCGUAACGCGUAUGCAACUUACCUUUAACUGGAGAAUAGCCCCUCGAAAGAGGGAUUAAUACUCCAUAGUAAUCAGAGAAGGCAUCUUUUUUGGUUUAAAGCUCCGGCGGUUAAAGAUGGGCAUGCGUGACAUUAGCUAGUUGGUGAGGUAACGGCUCACCAAGGCUACGAUGUCUAGGGGUUCUGAGGGGAUGAUCCCCCACACUGGUACUGAGACACGGACCAGACUCCUACGGGAGGCAGCAGUAAGGAAUAUUGGGCAAUGGACGCAAGUCUGACCCAGCCAUGCCGCGUGAAGGAUGACUGCCCUAUGGGUUGUAAACUUCUUUUGUACGGGAAUAAACCCGGGUACGUGUACCCGGCUGAAUGUACCGUAAGAAUAAGGAUCGGCUAACUCCGUGCCAGCAGCCGCGGUAAUACGGAGGAUCCAAGCGUUAUCCGGAUUCAUUGGGUUUAAAGGGUGCGUAGGCGGAUUUGUAAGUCAGUGGUGAAAUCCUACAGCUUAACUGUAGAACUGCCAUUGAUACUGCAAGUCUUGAGUACAUUUGAUGUGGGCGGAAUGUGUCAUGUAGCGGUGAAAUGCUUAGAUAUGACACAGAACACCGAUUGCGAAGGCAGCUCACAAAACUGUAACUGACGCUGAGGCACGACAGCGUGGGGAUCAAACAGGAUUAGAUACCCUGGUAGUCCACGCCGUAA